GAUGAACGCUAGCGGCAGGCCUAACACAUGCAAGUCGAGGGGCAGCAUAAAAAUUCAGCAAUGAGUUUUGGUGGCGACCGGCGUACGGGUGCGUAACGCGUAUGCACCCUACCUUUAACAGGGGGAUAACGGAGAGAAAUUUCCACUAAUACCCCAGAAUAUCAGAAGAGGCAUAUCUUUCGGUUGAAAUCUCCGGAGGUUAAAGAUGGGCAUGCGUUGUAUUAGGUAGUUGGUGGGGUAAUGGCUCACCAAGCCUACGAUACAUAGGGGGACUGAGAGGUUAGCCCCCCACACUGGUACUGAGACACGGACCAGACUCCUACGGGAGGCAGCAGUGAGGAAUAUUGGUCAAUGGGGGCAACCCUGAACCAGCCAUGCCGCGUGCAGGAAGACGGCUCUAUGAGUUGUAAACUGCUUUUGUACAGGGAUAAAUCGGGGAACGUGUUCCCCGUUGAAGGUACUGUAAGAAUAAGGAUCGGCUAACUCCGUGCCAGCCGCCGCCGUAA
This 506-nucleotide ribosomal RNA is filed under the name uncultured bacterium. RNAcentral describes it as "partial 16S ribosomal RNA". It matches the Rfam family "Bacterial small subunit ribosomal RNA", at positions 28 to 523 of the family's 1533-position model. The record is from RNAcentral.